Oreochromis aureus is the source of this 3686-nucleotide long non-coding RNA. NCBI's taxonomy places the organism in Eukaryota, Metazoa, Chordata, Actinopteri, Cichliformes, Cichlidae. The record is from Ensembl.
AGAGCGCUUUUUUGUUGUUGUUGUUGUUGUGCUAAGCUAAAAGGCAGAAUGCUACAGGCAUAGCUCUAAAGCAUGUAGCCUGAUGGGCAGUGUAGUCCGUGCUGCAGGGAGAAUGGACUACCAUACCCAUUAUGUGUCUCUGUGAGCGAGGGAGGGAGAGAAAGGAAAAGUCCGAGCUGUCACGGAGCAAAAACGGGAGCUGGAAGCAUGUAAAUAUAAUAAUAACCACUGCAGCCAAGAAGAGUGCCUGAGGAGCCCAUUUGAGGAGAUAAAAGAGGAAGCCAAGGCCAUCACGUAGGCACCAUAAGAGAGAAAGAAUGUGAAUGCUUAGUGUGGAGGAGGGCUGAAGCUACAAGAAUGUGAGAAACGGUCAGACACUUCGAGAUUUUGCAGGACACCCUCCCUUGCUCAUCUCCCCUCCGGAUGUUUAUGCUCAAAGUGUGUAAGGAAUAAUGAGAAUUAUAUGGAAUAAAGAGAUUGUUGAUUGAGCAUUUAUACACCGAGUGUUGUUCUUCCUUCAGCCCAAACAUCAAAGAAUUGGGAUAUUUAACAAGGUGUAGCGACCCCUCUGUGUUUCAAAUAUGGAGGCUGAUUCAAUGUGUCAUCAUAUACAAGUACAGCAAAUCAUUCACUGGAAACUCACAUUUUGGAGCUGGAGGGCUCCUCCAGAGGUUUGUUGUAAGAUUGAAGUGGUAAAUAAACUAAUGUUUCAUUUAUUAAUUUAGUGUUUGUGAUCCCAAAGUGCACAGCUAAACUCUAAAUACAAAAUGCUAGUAAUAAUAAUGACAACAACAUCUAAUACUUUGCAUGUUUUUUUAUUUGCAUACCUCAGUUCACGGUUAAGCAUCAAUUUAUGUAGUUUAUAGCUUAUCUUUACCACCUCACACAAUAAAACUUUGACUCUAACCAACCUUUAAAUUCUGCUUGUAGUGCCAAUUAACAAACCAAAGAAAAGCACUUAAGGCAAUAUGAAAUCAUUUCCAACACUUCUUAGAGAGAGAAAUGGGUUAGGGUUGGGGGGGUUACCCUAAUCCUUUAAAUUGAGUUAAAAUUGCUUGAAAAAGCCAAGUGCCGUCAGUUCACGGUUAUGCAUCAGGCUCCAUUCAAGCCACCUGCACAGAGAAGGGCCAUCAGAGUCUAAUUCCAAACACAUAUCUAUAUGCUGUUCAUCAAUAAAUCAUGAUUUUAAGAACAAAUACAGCUAAAUGAAAUGUAGUAAUGCUGAAUUACAGCAGUAUUUUUUACUUAUUGUACAAAGUAAAGCUAGUAUUUUAUUAACAUUCUGUAUUCACAUCCACCAGAAUGUACCUGAUAAGCUGUGUAACUACAACAGACCAAUGUUAUGUACAAAUGUUACUGUAUAAUAAUUACAAAAACAUUUUCAGGAUAGUUUUACAAAACUAAAUACAUUAACUUGAUGUGGGUUACAUGUAAAAAAUUUUUUUUUACAGCUGAUAUAAUCAGAAAUGAACAAUAGAUUGCUGUAAUUUUAAACUCAGUUACUACUCUAACAACAAUAUAUUGCACUUUUUUAAUAGGUGAUAUAUUAUUACAAUAAUUACAGAAAAAAUUCUAGAUUUUUCAGAUAAAAUUGUACAUUUCUGUGAUUUUAUGCCUAACAUUUUGUAUUAGAACAGUAUUUAAUCAUAUUACUAGAUACUUUGACUGUUUUUACACCUGUAAAUACUUAAUAUAAAACAAAUCUGCAAGACCAAAUAUGAUUUUAUAUAAAUUUAAAGCUAAAAACACGUGUAUUUUAUAAGAUUGGCCUGUAAAAGAACAAAAAUGUUCCAUAUUUUCAUUACAGAUAACUCGGUUCAAACUUUAAAUGUGCACAUAUCCACUCUGGCUUCUUUUUAAAUAUGUUGUUUGACAACUUCUCACAGCUGUAUUUCAAAAUGUUUUUGACAGCAUUUCCUUUAUAACCUUUUAACCUUUAUAACAGGAUUAAAUAUGUUGGGAUCAGUGCAGUCAGUGCCACAGAUCACAUAGAGACUGAUCUCAAUCUCUACAGAGUCACAGAGUUAGAAAAAGUUCACAGUGUGACAUUGAUGAGUGUUUCUAACUCAAACUGUGAACUUCUGCCGAUUAAAACACUUUAAUGUCGUAUUUAGUGACUGUAUUAAUAAAAACAGGUGCAGCAGGAAGAAAACUCGAUGUAAAACAAAGCGGUUGCUGACUCGAGAAUCCAAACAUGGCUCUUAGUGCGUUACUAUUUGUGAAUCCAGUUGAAUUUAAAGCAAGUUCAUUCUCACCUGUAGAGGCAAACAGGAGGCAGAGAGUAAAAUCCAGGAAAUAGACACACAUGUCCCAGCAGGCAUUUCAUCCACUUCUGCUCAACAAAACUGAAUAAAACUAUUCUAAAUUUCCAAAUGAUGAACAGAGUAAUCUCUCUGUCUUCUGAUGAAGGAUGUGUUAAAGUUCUUUAUUAUGAAAUCUGGCACUAAUCAAAAAACACGCCAAGGGUUAAUGGUGCACCAAAAUAUAAAUAUGAAUAAGUGCCUCUGUGGGAGCAGAUUAACUAGUGAGAAGUAUUCGUUACUUCUGCCGCGGGGGUUGUGUUUUUAGUAGCGUUUGACACGUGCAUUUAAACAUGCUACUGUCUUGAAAUUAAAGAUAAAUGCAGACACACAGAUAAGACAGACAGGAACAACUGUUCGUUACUCUACCUUUGUUUGCAAACUUUACAGUAAAACACAAAGAGGGCGGAUGAGUUCACUCAGCAGGGAGAACAGUGCAUGAGAAGUAUUGAGAGUUUAGGCCAGUAAGUUAAAUGGUUUGUUUUGUGACUUUAGUCAUCAUAAUUAUCAUAUUACACCAUAAUUACACUUUUUUUGGAUCAGCCAAUCAUGUCAAACUUUAAUCAGUUAGACAAAAAUGUAUUUUUAUGCUUUGAGUAAAUGAAAAAAAUAUAGGAAUAAAAUAAUAGCUCAAAGAAUCUUGUUAAUGCUGAUAUUUAGAGGUUCGGUCAGAUUUCAGAAUACAUAAAAAGGAAACAGUUAAGUUAUGAUGAUGUAUUUGCAGUUUUGAACGUAAACAUAAAUACACACAGACCCUGUUCGUUACUGCUGUUUCCUAAGCACAGAAUGUUUUUCAUACCUUUUCUGCAAGAGUGUUUUUUUUGUGAGUGUGUGGGUUGUGUUAGUAAUGAGGGUGUUUACAAAGUUAGACUGACUCUAAUGACAAGGAUCUGUUGUUCUCUCUGUCUCUGUCGCCCAGAGGUAAAUUCUUUAUGACAGCAGGUGCUAUCAGAUAAUGGUUUAAGGCCACACCCACCAACUGUAGGAAUAUUCAGCUGACGUGAGCAUGUGAGAUAUUUUUCUCUUCUUAUGUUUCAUCUUAUUUUCAGUUCUUCUUAGCUGCUGCCAUGGUUGAUGUAUGUUGCAAUUUAUGAAGUUGUGUUUCGUUGUGUCAGUGCUGUCUCUGACAUUUUAUUAGAAGGACUGUACGUAGGUCACAGUCGAAGAAGCUUGAUUUUAUUUUAUUGUUUUGUGCUGGGCAUGUGAGUAGGGCGCAUUUCUUAAAUAAAUCAAAACUGGAUUUUUAUAAGUAUCAAAUGUUGACAUUUUGUCAUGUUUUCAUGAAAAACAGGGAACAUGAGAGCUCGUUGUAGCUGUUGCAGGGCUUCAGAUGGACCUGUGUUAUACAGAAAAACUGGAGCAGGAGACAUGAGUUGUGUUCAGUCU